This 1531-nucleotide ribosomal RNA is filed under the name Salmonella enterica. RNAcentral describes it as "bacterial SSU rRNA". It matches the Rfam family "Bacterial small subunit ribosomal RNA". Lineage: Bacteria; Pseudomonadati; Pseudomonadota; Gammaproteobacteria; Enterobacterales; Enterobacteriaceae. RNAcentral also lists the same sequence under 4 other names. The record is from RNAcentral.
AAAUUGAAGAGUUUGAUCAUGGCUCAGAUUGAACGCUGGCGGCAGGCCUAACACAUGCAAGUCGAACGGUAACAGGAAGCAGCUUGCUGCUUUGCUGACGAGUGGCGGACGGGUGAGUAAUGUCUGGGAAACUGCCUGAUGGAGGGGGAUAACUACUGGAAACGGUGGCUAAUACCGCAUAACGUCGCAAGACCAAAGAGGGGGACCUUCGGGCCUCUUGCCAUCAGAUGUGCCCAGAUGGGAUUAGCUUGUUGGUGAGGUAACGGCUCACCAAGGCGACGAUCCCUAGCUGGUCUGAGAGGAUGACCAGCCACACUGGAACUGAGACACGGUCCAGACUCCUACGGGAGGCAGCAGUGGGGAAUAUUGCACAAUGGGCGCAAGCCUGAUGCAGCCAUGCCGCGUGUAUGAAGAAGGCCUUCGGGUUGUAAAGUACUUUCAGCGGGGAGGAAGGUGUUGCGGUUAAUAACCGCAGCAAUUGACGUUACCCGCAGAAGAAGCACCGGCUAACUCCGUGCCAGCAGCCGCGGUAAUACGGAGGGUGCAAGCGUUAAUCGGAAUUACUGGGCGUAAAGCGCACGCAGGCGGUCUGUCAAGUCGGAUGUGAAAUCCCCGGGCUCAACCUGGGAACUGCAUUCGAAACUGGCAGGCUUGAGUCUUGUAGAGGGGGGUAGAAUUCCAGGUGUAGCGGUGAAAUGCGUAGAGAUCUGGAGGAAUACCGGUGGCGAAGGCGGCCCCCUGGACAAAGACUGACGCUCAGGUGCGAAAGCGUGGGGAGCAAACAGGAUUAGAUACCCUGGUAGUCCACGCCGUAAACGAUGUCUACUUGGAGGUUGUGCCCUUGAGGCGUGGCUUCCGGAGCUAACGCGUUAAGUAGACCGCCUGGGGAGUACGGCCGCAAGGUUAAAACUCAAAUGAAUUGACGGGGGCCCGCACAAGCGGUGGAGCAUGUGGUUUAAUUCGAUGCAACGCGAAGAACCUUACCUGGUCUUGACAUCCACAGAACUUUCCAGAGAUGGAUUGGUGCCUUCGGGAACUGUGAGACAGGUGCUGCAUGGCUGUCGUCAGCUCGUGUUGUGAAAUGUUGGGUUAAGUCCCGCAACGAGCGCAACCCUUAUCCUUUGUUGCCAGCGAUUAGGUCGGGAACUCAAAGGAGACUGCCAGUGAUAAACUGGAGGAAGGUGGGGAUGACGUCAAGUCAUCAUGGCCCUUACGACCAGGGCUACACACGUGCUACAAUGGCGCAUACAAAGAGAAGCGACCUCGCGAGAGCAAGCGGACCUCAUAAAGUGCGUCGUAGUCCGGAUUGGAGUCUGCAACUCGACUCCAUGAAGUCGGAAUCGCUAGUAAUCGUGGAUCAGAAUGCCACGGUGAAUACGUUCCCGGGCCUUGUACACACCGCCCGUCACACCAUGGGAGUGGGUUGCAAAAGAAGUAGGUAGCUUAACCUUCGGGAGGGCGCUUACCACUUUGUGAUUCAUGACUGGGGUGAAGUCGUAACAAGGUAACCGUAGGGGAACCUGCGGUUGGA